RNAcentral lists this long non-coding RNA (1294 nucleotides) under Salvia miltiorrhiza (redroot sage). Its description in RNAcentral is "long non-coding RNA (SMIL_LNC006018)". Lineage: Eukaryota; Viridiplantae; Streptophyta; Magnoliopsida; Lamiales; Lamiaceae. The record is from RNAcentral.
UUGGUUUAAAAAAGCGCGCUUAAGCGCAAAAAAGCGCGCGCUUUUGGUGAAGCGCAGCUGUGGGCUUUUUUCUGGGCGAAGCGCGCUCACCUACACGAAGCGCCGAAAAGCGCACAUAAGCGCACAAAGCGCAGAAAAGCGCAAAGCGCAGAAAAGCGGGCUUUUAGUAUGUUAGGGUUAGGUUUUUAAAUUUUAAAAAAACUAGGUUUUAUUUCAUAAAAUCAAAGGCUUGCCUCCAGCGUCCAGCCGUCUUCUCCCAUCCCUCUCGCGUCCUGCCGUCGCGCGCCGCCGCCUGCCGUCGCGCGCUGCCGCCUGCCGUCGCGCGCCGCCUCCAGCCCGCCGCCGUCGUCGCCAGCUGUCCGCCGGUCAUCGUCCAAGGUAAAGUUUUCAGUUUUCCUUCAUUUUUUGUUCGGUUUUUUCAAGUUUGUUUUUUUACUGUCAGUUUUUUUUUUUGGUUUUUGGGUCAUUGUUUAAAGUUUUCGAUUUUUCCUUUUGUUUACUUUUUCCUUUUGUUCAGUUUUUUAAUUUCAUUUUUGGGUGCUGAAUUUUUUAAAAUGAACCUUUAAACAAGUAGCAUCAUGUAAUGUGACUUCAAAUGAAUUUUUCCAGUUCAGUUUUUUAAAAUGAAUUUUUCGGUCAUUGUCCAGUUUUCUGUUUUUUUAAAAUAAAUUCUGAUUUUUUUUAUUUUUUUUUUCUAGUUUUUUAAUGACUUCAAAUAGUUCACAAGUAGCAUCAUCAACGGAUGGAGAUGAUCCAGCUAAAAGAUGGAAGAGGACAUUGGUGAAGACAAAGAUUAUGAAGGAGAUGGGGAUGAUGCACUUAAUGAUGAUGAUAUUUGAUUAGUUGCUUGAAAUUUGAUUGAACUUUUAGACUUGCGUACUUUAAACUUAAGUAUUUGUGUGUUUUAAUUUUUAAAUUAAGUAUUUGUGUGUUUAAGUAUUUGUGGUUUUAAGUAUUUGUGUGUUUUGCUAUAAAAUAUAUUGUAGGUAAAUAUAUUAGAAUUUUUUAGGUUUUAGCGCGUUUCGCCUACGAAAAGCCCGCGCUUUCACCAAAAGCCCGCGCUUUAAGCCCCGGGGCAGUUUGCGCUUCGGUGCGCUUCACGCUUUUUUAAACCAAGCAGAUAACUUAAACUAUGACACAGUAAAUAUAAGCAUUGAUGUUGCAGGGGAGGAUAAUUUCCAUAACAUCAUUUUUGAAGAAAAAUGGAGAAAAAUUUAAAUUAUGCAAUUCUGGCCCGUAAAUUCAAGGACUAUACAUCAAGUUUCACAAAUGCCAAAUGAUAAAUUUAAGGGAU